RNAcentral lists this ribosomal RNA (906 nucleotides) under Ostorhinchus nigrofasciatus (blackstripe cardinalfish). RNAcentral describes it as "partial 16S rRNA". The stretch from base 162 to 706 matches the Rfam family "Bacterial large subunit ribosomal RNA", at positions 573 to 1301 of the family's 2925-position model. Lineage: Eukaryota; Metazoa; Chordata; Actinopteri; Kurtiformes; Apogonidae. The record is from RNAcentral.
AGCCCAUUAGCUAGCUCGCACCUAAAAACGCAACAAUUCACCAUUCAUACCCCCAACUAACCUCAAUAUACCAUAGACCAAACCAUUUUUCCCCCUUAGUAUGGGAGACAGAAAAGGACACGUCGAAGCAAUAGCAAUAGUACCGCAAGGGAACGCUGAAAGAGAAAUGAAACAAACCAGUAAAGCGCAAAGAAGCAGAGUUCAACUCUCGUACCUUUUGCAUCAUGAUUUAGCAAGAAAACAUCAAGCAAAGAGCAUUUUAGUUUGAUACCCCGAAACCAAGUGAGCUACUCCAAGACAGCCUCUAAGGGCGCACCCGUCUCUGUGGCAAAAGAGUGGGAAGAUCUUCGAGUAGAGGUGACAGACCAACCGAACUUGGUUAUAGCUGGUUGCCCAGGAAAUGAAUAGGAGUUCAGCCUUUUGUCCUCUUUACACAAAUGCCGUAUAACAUUCCAAAGCAUCUAAGUAGGACAAAAGAGUUAGUCAAAGGGGGUACAGCCCCUUUGAAAAAGAUACAACUUUACCAGAAGGGUUAAGAUCAUAACACUUACUAAGGGAAUGUGUUCUAGUUGGCCUAAGAGCAGCCAUCCAAACAGAAAGCGUUAAAGCUCAAACACCUCCCCACCCCUAUUAUUCGGACCACAACAUCUUACCCCCCUAAACAUACUGAGCCUUCCCAUACCCCUAUGGGAGAGAUUAUGCUAAUAUGAGUAAUAAGAGAUCCCGCAUCUCUCCUCGCACAAGUGUACAUCGGAACGAACCAACACCGAAAAUUGACGGCCCCAAAAGAAGAGGGUAAUGAAAUAUUAUGGCCAAACCACUAGAAGACCAUUCACUAACCCAACCGUUAACCUUACACCAGAGUGCAUGCAAGGAAAGACUAAAAGAAAAAGAAGGAACUCGGCA